UACGUAGGGAGCGAGCGUUGUCCGGAAUUACUGGGUGUAAAGGGAGCGUAGGCGGGACUGCAAGUUGGGUGUCAAAUCUACCGGCUCAACCGGUAGCCGCACUCAAAACUGCAGUUCUUGAGUGGAGUAGAGGCAGGCGGAAUUCCUAGUGUAGCGGUGAAAUGCGUAGAUAUUAGGAGGAACACCAGUGGCGAAGGCGGCCUGCUGGGCUUCUACUGACGCUGAGGCUCGAAAGUGUGGGGAGCAAACAGG
This 252-nucleotide ribosomal RNA is filed under the name uncultured bacterium. RNAcentral describes it as "partial 16S ribosomal RNA". It matches the Rfam family "Bacterial small subunit ribosomal RNA", at positions 524 to 776 of the family's 1533-position model. The record is from RNAcentral.